GACAGAGGGUGCAAACGUUGUUCGGAAUUACUGGGCGUAAAGGGCGCGUAGGCGGCCUGCUAAGUCGAACGUGAAAUCCCCGGGCUCAACCCGGGAACUGCGUCCGAUACUGGUUGGCUUGAAUUCGGGAGAGGGAUGUGGAAUUCCAGGUGUAGCGGUGAAAUGCGUAGAUAUCUGGAGGAACACCGGUGGCGAAGGCGGCAUCCUGGACCGAUAUUGACGCUGAUGCGCGAAAGCCAGGGGAGCAAACGGG
This 253-nucleotide ribosomal RNA is filed under the name uncultured bacterium. Its description in RNAcentral is "partial 16S ribosomal RNA". It matches the Rfam family "Bacterial small subunit ribosomal RNA", at positions 524 to 776 of the family's 1533-position model. The record is from RNAcentral.